RNAcentral lists this ribosomal RNA (507 nucleotides) under uncultured bacterium. RNAcentral describes it as "partial 16S ribosomal RNA". It matches the Rfam family "Bacterial small subunit ribosomal RNA", at positions 28 to 506 of the family's 1533-position model. The record is from RNAcentral.
GACGAACGCUGGCGGCGUGCCUAAUACAUGCAAGUCGAACGCUUCUUUCCUCCCGAGUGCUUGCACUCAAUUGGAAAGAGGAGUGGCGGACGGGUGAGUAACACGUGGGUAACCUACCCAUCAGAGGGGGAUAACACUUGGAAACAGGUGCUAAUACCGCAUAACAGUUUAUGCCGCAUGGCAUAAGAGUGGAAGGCGCUUUCGGGUGUCGCUGAUGGAUGGACCCGCGGUGCAUUAGCUAGUUGGUGAGGUAACGGCUCACCAAGGCCACGAUGCAUAGCCGACCUGAGAGGGUGAUCGGCCACCCUGGGACUGAGACACGGCCCAGACUCCUACGGGAGGCAGCAGUAGGGAAUCUUCGGCAAUGGACGAAAGUCUGACCGAGCAACGCCGCGUGAGUGAAGAAGGUUUUCGGAUCGUAAAACUCUGUUGUUAGAGAAGAACAAGGACGUUAGUAACUGAACGUCCCCUGACGGUAUCUAACCAGAAAGCCACGGCUAACUACGU